CCUGAAAGCACCCAAGUGGGCCAAAGGUGGGCCUCAUGUAAGAUAACCAUCUGGGCCCCACUAAAGACCCAGUCGGAGCCCAUUAAAAUCUACCUGGGCAAACCCAUGUGGGGCCACCAUGGAACCCGUGGACAAACCCUUUUGGGACCCAUAUUGACAGCCCUCUUUUAACCCAUAUGGGGCCCACCUAGGUAUGCUGGCUGGGAGCUGACAGACUCCUGGCCUCAGCUAGUUUCUGUGCUCGCAAAGAUGCUGCAGACAAUGUUCCAUUCAUGAAAACGUUCCCAGGGCACCUUCAAGAUCUGAACAUUUAUUUUAGGAACGGUGUCAAACACACAGCCUAUUGAAAGCAGCUUCCAGUGUUCUACAAGUGGACAGCCUAAACAUAACACAGGUGAAGGACACAAGAUGGCUGUCCCAAGAUAGAUCUCAGCUCUUCAGUGAAAUCUGGCAGCUGUACAGGCAGCUCUUGCUGAGGAGGUAGAGAAAAAGGACCUUGUAGCAAGGGGUCUUUAUACGUAGUGUGCAACAUACAGGUUUGUAGCUGCCAUCCAUCUCAAAGCAGAUGUUCUUCCCCACCUGACACGGCUUUCAAAGGUUUUCCAAAAGGAAGUAGUCAAUUUUUCAAGAAACAUGUGUAUGUUACAGUUGAGGCCAUUCAACAAAUCAAGGAGGCAGGAGAUGUGUGACCUCCAGGGUCAUAUCUCAGUUUUUUGGAAGAAAGAGUGAAAUGCCUCAGCAUACAGGCAGAGGAGGAGCGGAGAAGCCACAGGGGUGAUUUUGGACUCGUUUUUGAAUUCAGGUCUUUAAUAUUCAGUGUUUCCAGUUACAAACUUAGAAAAUAUUAUAGAAUUAGACAACUAACUUUCACAAGGUAAUGGAGCCAUGCUUGGACCAUCUGAUUGAGCAUCAUGAGAGGAGAUUCCCAGAGAUGAACAUCCUUACUGGAUUCAACAUACUCAACCCACAAGCAGGAAGGAAGAAGAUGACUUUCAAGAGAACUUGCAACUGCUUGUCAAAAGGUUUCCCACUUUGGAUGAAGGGGCAGUACUCCAAGAAUGGACCAGUUUAAAAGUCUGUCUUGGCCAAGGCAUUUUUAUGGACAAGUCAAAGCUGGAGGUGAUGCAGGAAAUGGCCUCUGAUUUGAUGAGCUGAAGCUCCUCUACCCAAAUCUGUCCCUCCUCUCUGCCGUUGCAUUGACAGUUCCAUUCUCAGGUGUGAACUGUGAAAGAGUCUUUUCAGCUAUGAACAGGAUAAAGACUGACCUCAGAAACAGACUUCAGGGCAAAAGCCUCCCAGCGAGUUUACAAAUCAGAAUAAAUGGACCCAGUGUGACUGACAUGGACUUCGAUAAGGCUCUGGAAGAAUUCUUUACAAAACCCAGAAGGAUGAUGUGCCACAAAAAUUCAAAGAUCAAAGCUCAACACAGUAGAGCAUCUCUCUUAUUUUUUUGAGUUUUCUUUCAGAGGCUUUGAUGUGAGACGUGUCUUGGUGCUUUGAUUGCACUUAAUUUAUGUUUAUUUCAUUUGUAUAUCUUUUAAGGUAGGAUUCAACAAAAGUGCAAACAAUUAGUACUUAUUUUAAUUGUAUUUUUAGUUAACAGUUUAAAAAGUGUUCCUUUUUAUAAGGCUGUAGUUGUGGAAAUAUUCUUUUUACAGUCGGCCGGCAGUCGGCCUCUUGUCUGGGGGAAACCCUCUAGUCUGUUUUUAAGAGAUAGCAGUCAAGUUUCCCUGCUUUAAAUUUAAUCCAAACUUUCUCUGAUGUUUCAGCACUUCACUUGAACAUGGACAAACUUCUACGGUUAAAGAUUGUGAUUUAGAUUCUGUCUGUAAUAUUCCUGUCAAACAAAAUGUCACUUAUUUAGGCAUAAUUAUCUCUAGGGAUGAUUUGGAAAAGUGUUCAUCAAAUUUUGCUCCCUUAGUUGAUAAAACCAAAAAACCCUUUAAUUUAUGGCUUCAAAAAGAUCUAAGCCUUGCAGGACAGAUAUUGUUAUCUAAAGCAGAGGGAAUAUCACGGCUCCAUGCAUUUAGACAACCAAACUAUAAAAUCUAUUGACCAAAUGGUAUUCAAUUCCUUAUGGAAAAAUUGUAUACAUUUCUGAAGAAAAUCAGUGGUAAUAAAUUCUUAUGAAAAAGGAGGGUUGAGUUUUCUAGAUUUCCCAACUCUAAAUAAAACAUUCAAAAUAAAUUGGUAUCUAAAAAAAUCCAUCCUCCAUUUGAAAUACUUUUACAAAUGACAUUUUCUCCAGUGUAGGGUUUUCAUUUCCUCCUCUGUAAUUAUAAUGUAGAGAAAACACCAGUCAAACUUUCUGCAUUUCACAAACAAGCACUUCUUUCAUGGCACUUAUGUAUGUAAACAUAAGUUUUCUCCACAUAAAUUCUACUUCUGAAAUAAAGAAUACAUCCUUCACAAAAAUAAA
Long non-coding RNA from Gambusia affinis (western mosquitofish), 2419 nucleotides. RefSeq lists it as uncharacterized. NCBI's taxonomy places the organism in Eukaryota, Metazoa, Chordata, Actinopteri, Cyprinodontiformes, Poeciliidae. The transcript is spliced from 5 exons. The record is from RefSeq and is a predicted model, not a curated record.